This 1073-nucleotide unclassified non-coding RNA is filed under the name Aphelenchoides sp. 1 FDL-2017. Its description in RNAcentral is "sequence contains 18S rRNA gene, ITS1, 5.8S rRNA gene, ITS2, 28S rRNA gene". The stretch from base 1 to 191 matches the Rfam family "Eukaryotic small subunit ribosomal RNA", at positions 1642 to 1831 of the family's 1831-position model. The record is from RNAcentral. Lineage: Eukaryota; Metazoa; Nematoda; Chromadorea; Rhabditida; Aphelenchoididae.
UGAUUACGUCCCUGCCCUUUGUACACACCGCCCGUCGCUCCCCGGGACUGAGUUGUUUCGAGAAAUCCACGGACCGGUGCCGUUCGGUGUUUCGGCAUCUGCGGCGCUGGAAAGUGGCUUAAUCGCAACGGCUUGAACCGGGGAAAAGUCGUAACAAGGUUGCAGUAGGUGAACCUGCUGCAAGAUCAGGUAUCGAUGAAAUUAUCGCGUUGCCCCCCUCCUCCAAGGGGGACUUCACGUUCAACACCGACGCCGAGCGCCCAUAUUCGACGGUCGUCGUGAAGCGCGCGGAUUGUCGGUGGUCGCUGGACUCCCCGCGAGUUUUCAGUCUUACAAACGGCUUCUCUGGGCCUCUAAGUCGAACUGAGCAGUUGUGUACCACGUCCGUGGCUGCCGAGACGUUCGACGGUCGCGUUCGCUUCGAGCGAGCGCUAGAGUUGAUGACCCGGUCGGGCACCCAGAACCAUAUACACACACAUCAAACAUUCAAUGCUGAAUAGUCAAGUUAAAGUUAUGUCGGCGAAUCACUUGGCUCGUGGGUCGAUGAAGAACGCAGUGAAUUGCGUUAAUAAGCACGAAUUACAGAUAUUAUGAGUGCCUUGUUUUCGAUUGCAUAUUGCGCCGUCGGGUUCUGCCCUUCGGCAUACUCGACUCAGGGUGUUUUAAAGGAAACGAUAAACCAACUAUUGGCGACGGUUAUCGAGUUCAUCUCGUCGGCUCGUCCCAACGGACGUCGGUCGGCGUGUGGAGGGCGGCAAUCCCCGUGAAUGGCGGAGUUGCCUGCUUUUAAGUGUGAACUACUGUAGUUUCAAACGGUUCUCGUAAGCAAGGGACGCGUUUCGCAAGGUCCGCGCUGUCGACUGUGUUCAGGCAAUUGAUUCGCGUUGAGCGCUUGCCAGUCGCGACGUGCGUCCACGAUUCGUUGGUCCGAGUGACCGGCAGUAGGACUUGAAACACCAGCCAUCAUCUGGUUGAAUCCACCUGAGUCGCGAAGAGUACCUGCCGAACUUAAGCAUAUCAGUAAGCAGAGGAAAAGAAACUAACAAGGAUUCCCUUAGUAACGGCGAGUGAAA